RNAcentral lists this signal recognition particle RNA (265 nucleotides) under Dehalococcoidia bacterium. RNAcentral describes it as "signal recognition particle sRNA large type". It matches the Rfam family "Bacterial large signal recognition particle RNA". Rfam says of the family: The signal recognition particle (SRP) is a universally conserved ribonucleoprotein involved in the co-translational targeting of proteins to membranes. Archaeal SRP consists of a 7S RNA and homologues of the eukaryotic SRP19 and SRP54 proteins. Lineage: Bacteria; Bacillati; Chloroflexota; Dehalococcoidia. The record is from RNAcentral.
CCGUGCUAGAUGGGGAGCUAGCGGUGCCCUGUACCCGCAAUCCGCUGGAGCGGGGUCGAACUCCUCCCCGAGAGCUCGGCGUCAACGCCUCUAGUCCGGGCGAUCGCGUUGAGAGCCGGGCCCUGCGCGGCGGCGCCUCGUGAACCCCGUCAGGUCCGGAAGGAAGCAGCGGUAAGCGGAAUGCGUCGUGCGCCGCAGACAAGCCUGGUUCGAGCGACGUUCAGAGGCCAAGCGUUGGCGUUCGAGACCGACGGGAGGUGCACGG